RNAcentral lists this ribosomal RNA (491 nucleotides) under uncultured bacterium. RNAcentral's name for it is "bacterial SSU rRNA". It matches the Rfam family "Bacterial small subunit ribosomal RNA", at positions 355 to 864 of the family's 1533-position model. The record is from RNAcentral.
UGGGGAAUAUUGCACAAUGGGCGCAAGCCUGAUGCAGCAAUGCCGCGUGAGUGAAGACGGCCUUAGGGUUGUAAAACUCUUUCGCUAGGGAAGAUAAUGACGGUACCUAGUAAAGAAGUCCCGGCUAACUCCGUGCCAGCAGCCGCGGUAAUACGGAGGGGACUAGCGUUGUUCGGAAUUACUGGGCGUAAAGAGCUCGUAGGCGGUCCGUUGCGUCUGCCGUGAAAACCCGGAGCUCAACUCCGGGCCUGCGGUGGAUACGGGCGGACUAGAGUCCGGUAGGGGAGACUGGAAUUCCUGGUGUAGCGGUGGAAUGCGCAGAUAUCAGGAGGAACACCGGUGGCGAAGGCGGGUCUCUGGGCCGGAACUGACGCUGAGGUGCGAAAGUGUGGGGAGCAAACAGGAUUAGAUACCCUGGUAGUCCACGCCGUAAACGAUGAGUGCUAGAUGUUGGGAUUUUCGGAUUUCAGUGUCGCAGCUAACGCAUUAAG